GAAAUGCGAUAAGUAGUGUGAAUUGCAGACUUUAGUGAAUCAUCGAAUCUUUGAACGCACAUUGCGCCCCUUGGUAUUCCAUUGGGCAUGCCUGUUCGAGCGUCAUGUACCCCCUCAAGCCCCCCGGCUUGGUGUUGGGCGUCUGUCCGCGCGCGUCGGCGACACGGCCGCGCGGACUCGCCUCAAAGGUA
This 191-nucleotide unclassified non-coding RNA is filed under the name plant metagenome. Its description in RNAcentral is "partial contains 5.8S ribosomal RNA and internal transcribed spacer 2". The stretch from base 1 to 105 matches the Rfam family "5.8S ribosomal RNA", at positions 50 to 154 of the family's 154-position model. Rfam says of the family: 5.8S ribosomal RNA (5.8S rRNA) is a component of the large subunit of the eukaryotic ribosome. It is transcribed by RNA polymerase I as part of the 45S precursor that also contains 18S and 28S rRNA. Functionally, it is thought that 5.8S rRNA may be involved in ribosome translocation. The record is from RNAcentral.